This is a long non-coding RNA of Drosophila willistoni, 598 nucleotides long. RefSeq lists it as uncharacterized. The transcript is spliced from 2 exons. Lineage: Eukaryota; Metazoa; Arthropoda; Insecta; Diptera; Drosophilidae. The record is from RefSeq and is a predicted model, not a curated record.
UCAAUUAGCAAAGGAAGCGUUGUUGGAAUUUAAUGGGAACUCGUGUGGAAAGAAAUGGGUCACGCAGCUGACAAAUAUAAGCGGCAAGUCGUUCGGGACAACUGUGUCUCAAGCAAAUGCCAGGCGCCUAUUCGAGUCUCGAAUUUGGAACGCCAAUGAGAGUUUCGUCAGUUACAUUGAUGAGAAGGCCAGGCUGUCAGAUGCUAUCAGCAUCAGCGAAGAGAAGCGAGAAGACAAAGCCAUUGAAGGGAUUGCUGGGUGGACUCCGCAUUCAAGCGCAGUUUCAAGGAUUCAAGUGCGUUGCAGAAUUACGCCGAAUUAUUUUCAGGCAUUCAGCUACCGGCACAGCGAGCAGCAAGAGAGACUACAAAGGUGGCCACUACGGACAGACGUUCCAAAGAAGAUUUCCGUUGCUACAACUGCAACUCGAAGGGCCACAUGAGCAAGGACUGUAAGAAACCCGACAGAGUGCCAGGGUCCUGCUUCGGAUGCGGUGCUUUGGAUUAUUGGGUGUCUAAGUGUCCACUCAAUACAGAGAAGCUAGCUAAAGGAUGCGACGACCAUGCUUCAUAGACUCAGGCAGUGAUGUUUCACUUAU